AGGACGAACGCUGGCGGCGCGCUUAACACAUGCAAGUCGAGCGAUAACCAUGGCUUCGGCUAUGGGGAGAGCGGCGAACGGGUGAGUAACACGUGAGUAAUCUGCCCUCGACACUGGGAUAGCCCGGGGAAACCCGGAUUAAUACCGGAUAGCCUCUCGAGCUUUCGGGCUCGUGAGAAAGAUGGCUUCGGCAUUCGGUUGAGGAGGAGCUUGCGGCGGAUUAGCUUGUUGGUGAGGUAACGGCCCACCAAGGCGACGAUCCGUA
RNAcentral lists this ribosomal RNA (265 nucleotides) under uncultured bacterium. RNAcentral describes it as "partial small subunit ribosomal RNA". It matches the Rfam family "Bacterial small subunit ribosomal RNA", at positions 26 to 285 of the family's 1533-position model. The record is from RNAcentral.